This 422-nucleotide ribosomal RNA is filed under the name uncultured bacterium. RNAcentral describes it as "bacterial SSU rRNA". It matches the Rfam family "Bacterial small subunit ribosomal RNA", at positions 355 to 774 of the family's 1533-position model. The record is from RNAcentral.
UAAGGAAUAUUGGACAAUGGAGGCAACUCUGAUCCAGCCAUGCCGCGUGAAGGAAUAAGGCCCUAUGGGUUGUAAACUUCUUUUAGACGGGACAAAACCCCUUUACGUGUAAAGGGUUGAUGGUACUGUCAGAAUAAGCAUCGGCUAACCUCGUGCCAGCAGCCGCGGUAAUACGAAGGAUGCAAGCGUUAUCCGGAAUUAUUGGGUUUAAAGGGUGCGUAGGCGGACUAAUAAGUCAGUGGUGAAAGCCUGCAGCUUAACUGCAGAAUUGCCAUUGAUACUGUUAGUCUUGAGUACAGUUGAGGUAGGCGGAAUGUGUCAUGUAGCGGUGAAAUGCUUAGAUAUGACACAGAACACCGAUUGCGAAGGCAGCUUGCUAAGCUGUAACUGACGCUGAGGCACGAAAGCGUGGGGAGCAAACA